RNAcentral lists this long non-coding RNA (518 nucleotides) under Ictidomys tridecemlineatus (thirteen-lined ground squirrel). RNAcentral's name for it is "lncRNA (ENSSTOG00000033359.1)". The record is from RNAcentral. Lineage: Eukaryota; Metazoa; Chordata; Mammalia; Rodentia; Sciuridae.
UCAUACAAUUUUAUUAAUUUUUUAUUAAUAUAUUUUCACAUACUUUCUACUAGGAAGAACAACGGAAACUAGAAGAAGAGAAAGAAAAGAAAAAAGAGAAUGACAUGGUAUUUAAAGCAUGGUUGCAAAAGAAAAGAGAGCAAGUUCUAGAAAUGAGGAGAAUUCAGCGAGCAAAGCAAAUUGAAGACAUGAACAGUAGACAGGAAAGCAGAGAUCCACAAGAAGCUUUUCGAUUGUGGCUUAAGAAAAAACAUGAAGAGCAGAUGAAAGAAAGGAAGACAGAAGAACUAAGAAAACAAGAGGAAUGCUUAUUCUUCCUUAAAGGAACAGAAGGCCGUGAAAGAGCUUUUAAACAAUGGCUAAGAAGGAAACGCAUAGAAAAAAUAGCAGAGCAAGAAACUAUGAAGGAGAGAACUAGACAGCUCCGACUAGAAGCAAGACGUUCUAAACAGCUACAGAACCACUUUUAUAACAUGCCAGAUGCCAAAACUUUUCGGUUCACAGAUCCUUACAGCUGA